GUCAAACGACAGGGGAGCGCUUCGGCGCUGAGAGUGCGGGCAACCGCAGACCCUCACACCUGAUCCGGUUCGCACCGGCGUAGGGAGUCGAGUUCUCAGGUGG
Molecule: non-coding RNA, 103 nt
Filed under: Knoellia aerolata
Lineage: Bacteria; Bacillati; Actinomycetota; Actinomycetes; Micrococcales; Intrasporangiaceae
Also listed under: 1 other name
Description: TPP sequence
Rfam family: TPP riboswitch aptamer (THI element)
About the family: Vitamin B(1) in its active form thiamin pyrophosphate (TPP) is an essential coenzyme that is synthesised by coupling of pyrimidine and thiazole moieties in bacteria. The previously detected thiamin-regulatory element, thi box was extended, resulting in a new, highly conserved RNA secondary structure, the THI element, which is widely distributed in eubacteria and also occurs in some archaea. Analysis of operon structures identified a large number of new candidate thiamin-regulated genes, mostly transporters, in various prokaryotic organisms.
Source: RNAcentral